This 402-nucleotide ribosomal RNA is filed under the name uncultured bacterium. RNAcentral describes it as "bacterial SSU rRNA". It matches the Rfam family "Bacterial small subunit ribosomal RNA", at positions 28 to 420 of the family's 1533-position model. The record is from RNAcentral.
GACGAACGCUGGCGGCGUGCCUAACACAUGCAAGUCGAACGAGGUCCAUGUAGUGGCAACACUACGGAAGGCCUAGUGGCGAACGGGUGAGUAAACACGUGAGGAAACUUGCCCCGGAGACCGGGAUAACUCUUCGAAAGAGGAGCUAAUACCGGAUGUUCUCACUGAGUCGCAUGGCUUGGUGAGGAAAUGGAUUCCGCUCCGGGAGAGCCUCGCGGCCUAUCAGCUAGUUGGAGGGGUAACGGCCCACCAAGGCAUCGACGGGUAGCUGGUCUGAGAGGACGAUCAGCCACACUGGGACUGAGACACGGCCCAGACUCCUACGGGAGGCAGCAGUGGGGAAUCUUGCGCAAUGGGCGAAAGCCUGACGCAGCAACGCCGCGUGCGGGAUGACGGCCUCGG